This 252-nucleotide ribosomal RNA is filed under the name uncultured bacterium. RNAcentral's name for it is "partial 16S ribosomal RNA". It matches the Rfam family "Bacterial small subunit ribosomal RNA", at positions 29 to 289 of the family's 1533-position model. The record is from RNAcentral.
AUUAACGCUAGCGGCAGGCAUAAUACAUGCAAGUCGAACGGUAGAGGGGCAACCCUUGAGAGUGGCGAACGGGUGAGUAAUGCAUCGGAACGUGCCCAGUCGUGGGGGAUAACGCAGCGAAAGCUGUGCUAAUACCGCAUGUGAUCUGUGGAUGAAAGCAGGGGACCGCAAGGCCUUGUGCGAUUGGAGCGGCCGAUGUCAGAUUAGCUAGUUGGUAGGGUAAAAGCCUACCAAGGCGACGAUCUGUAGCUG